RNAcentral lists this long non-coding RNA (943 nucleotides) under Homo sapiens (human). RNAcentral's name for it is "PREDICTED lncRNA (TCONS_00237719)". Lineage: Eukaryota; Metazoa; Chordata; Mammalia; Primates; Hominidae. The record is from RNAcentral.
CUCACUUUCCGCUUCCCAGCAUUGGCGGGUUCCGGGACUGGUGGCUGCGGUAGCUCAUUGGCCUUUGGUCUCUUAGACGGUGGAGAAUAAUCAUCAUCUUGAAAAAGAAAAUGGUCAUUACUGGAAGAACCAUCUUACAGUUACAGUCACCUCCUGGUCAAUUCCCAACAUUCAAAAGGUGCUGGGAUUACAGGCGUGAGCCACUGCGCCCAGCUACAACUGACUUUUUUGAUCCCUGGGAGAUGAGUCAACACCAAGGGACGACCAGUCCUAAGCCCUGGACAUGGACCUGGGGGUGAGGACAGAAGGGGAUCAGGACCAGCCCUCUCAUCCUGCACACUGAGGCAUGGGUGAUCCCAGGAAGCCACUCACCAGGCACCAGGGUGGCUUCCUGGAGGAGAGGAUGCUGAAGCCGACCUCAAGAAGUGUCUGUGUUAGGUUUAAGGACUCACAAGACUUCUCUGGCUGGACUAAAGCUGUGCGACCUUGCCAUUGUACUUCUCCAAAGCUAGUGUCUUCACCGCUCUGCAAAAUAUGGCAAAGUCAACGGUAGCUCUCAUCACCACUGGCUCUAGGGCUUGGCAGAGGAAGGGGCAAGGUAUCUCUGCAUCCCUUGGACCCAGCCACACCCCAACACAGAGUGAAUGUUUCCUAAUGCCAUUCCCUUUCCACAACUCCACUCCACGAGAGAGAAGUGACUUAAGCCUGCUAAGGAGCGGAGGGAAAAGUUCAGGAAGGUUUCAGCAUGCUAUCAUUAGCGCUAUCAUUAGCUCUUGAGGACUGAAUAGGAAUUUACUAGGGGUGGGUGGGGGAGAAUAUUCCAGGCAAAUGGAAGAGAGGUAGAUACAAAGGCACAGAGGUAUGUAGGGAACAAUAAGGGAAAUUGUGUAUUUGCUGGGGGAGGGCUAAAGAUGAGGAUUCAAGGCCAGGAGCAGUAAUCCCA